This 243-nucleotide ribosomal RNA is filed under the name uncultured bacterium. RNAcentral describes it as "partial 16S ribosomal RNA". It matches the Rfam family "Bacterial small subunit ribosomal RNA", at positions 93 to 339 of the family's 1533-position model. The record is from RNAcentral.
UAGUGGCGAACGGGUGAGUAACGCGUGGGAACCUACCUUGGAGCGGGGGACAACGUGGGGAAACCCACGCUAAUAUCGCAUACGCCCUACGGGGGAAAGGAGGGGAUCUUCGGACCUUUCGCUAUGAGAUGAGCCUGCGUUAGAUUAGCUAGUUGGUAGGGUAAAGGCCUACCAAGGCGACGAUCUAUAGCUGGUCUGAGAGGACGAUCAGCCACACUGGGACUGAGACACGGCCCAGACUCC